Molecule: ribosomal RNA, 474 nt
Filed under: uncultured bacterium
Lineage: Bacteria
Description: bacterial SSU rRNA
Rfam family: Bacterial small subunit ribosomal RNA
Source: RNAcentral
GACGACGCUGGCGGCGUGCCUAACACAUGCAAGUCGAGCGGGGUUGAAGCGAGAGGUAACUCGAACUUCUACCUAGCGGCGGACGGGUGAGUAACGCGUGGGCAACCUGCCUCAAGGUCUGGAAUAACAGCCCGAAAGGGCUGCUAAUACUGGGUAUGCUUGUGGCCUCGCAUGGGGCUAUGAGCAAAGGGGAAACCCGCCUUGAGAUGGGCCCGCGUCCCAUCAGCUAGUUGGUGAGGUAACAGCUCACCAAGGCGACGACGGGUAGCCGGCCUGAGAGGGUGACCGGCCACACUGGGACUGAGACACGGCCCAGACUCCUACGGGGGGCAGCAGUGGGGGAUCUUGCACAAUGGGCGAAAGCCUGAUGCAGCGACGCCGCGUGAGCGAAGAAGGCCUUCGGGUUGUAAAGCUCUGUCUGGAGGGACGAAGGAAGUGACGGUACCUCCGGAGGAAGCCACGGCUAACUACGUG